This 1215-nucleotide long non-coding RNA is filed under the name Bemisia tabaci. RNAcentral's name for it is "lncRNA ENSSSA2NGG001488". The record is from RNAcentral. Lineage: Eukaryota; Metazoa; Arthropoda; Insecta; Hemiptera; Aleyrodidae.
AGAGGCGAUGAAUCGAUUGCACAUGGUUCCGAGGCCUCUCAGAGUUUCCUGAGCCGAGAAAGGAGAGUCUUUCACUUCAGUCUUCAGUCUUUUGAAGACUCAUCUCAUUCGCACAUUUUGCCGAUCCCGCGGAUGGGGGGACUCAUGUACCACCUACGGCAGGUUAGGUAAGAGGAGAAACAUUUUUACUUUGACAGUGAUGAUAUAAUAAUGGAAACGAAAAAGAAACAUUAUGAAAUGAAAAUCAAAGAUCCAUCAAGCGAUACGAAAUCACCACAGUCAAUAUACGCCCGUGAGUGGAAUACAGUUUCCAUUGAUUCAGAGAGAAUGAGGAAGUGGAAUAAAUACGUCCAGUGUAUUGAUGAUAUUGUAUUAGAAGGCCUAAUCAAAGCAGUUACAUGCAGGUAUGUAAAUCCAAGCGGUCAAAAUUAACAUUUUCAUUAGUCCUCAUCCUUCUGAGAAAAAAAGAGCGGCUCAAACUUAUAUGUACUGCAUUUUGCAAUUAGGAACUAUGAUUUCAAGCUUACCUAGUUUUAAAACAAUCCACCAUUAGUUUUCCAAUAGACGUGCCUAUGCUUUGUUUAAGGAUGUGUCAAAAAUUGAAGUUCCUAAUGUAAAAAUGUACUUAUUGUCUAUAUGAAUUGACAAGGAAAGGAACCGAGUGCAAUCGCAAAUUACGACAGUAGAAUUUCGGCUAAGUAACACCUAAGUAACAAUAAAAAAGACAUUCUUAAAGUAUGCCUACUUUUACGCCCAAAAAUGUGUAAUAAGACCGCACUCCUGCGACUAUGGAAUACAGCAUCACUUACUUUGCUUAUUUUUACUGAACGCGGGCUAUAUUAUUACGCUGCAAUUGCUUUGUUGAUUGUUGCUCUGCACUGUAAUGCAACGCAUUCGCAGGCAAAUAACAGUUCACGCACACUGAGGUCACUUAAUUUCUUUCCUUUGAAAGUUUGACUUAAUUCCGAAAAACAGCUUCCUUCGAUAAUUUUUUAACCAAUAGCGCAAAACACCUCCCUUAGUGCAGAUUUGGUGAUCCAGCAUCCCGCUAGCCCACUUGAGAGCCUACUAGUCAAUAUCAGUGUCUUCUCAUUUCCAUACCCCUCAGCAAGGCGGGAAAGAUUUUGUGUAGAGGAUCCGUCUGUGGACAUGGCUUGACACUCUCACUUCUUUGAGCUGGCAACCGACAACAAUCAAGCAAUCAACAACAAAUUA